Xyrichtys novacula (pearly razorfish) is the source of this 10212-nucleotide non-coding RNA. NCBI's taxonomy places the organism in Eukaryota, Metazoa, Chordata, Actinopteri, Labriformes, Labridae. The record is from the annotation of a GenBank genome assembly.
UUCAAAGCAUUUGUUUUUUCAUUUAGUUUUAUAAAUGGGGGCAGGUCAUUCAAAUAAGGGGAGUAUCACAACUCUUAACACAGUUGCUAUAAUCCCUUUUUUUUUGUUGGUUCAGAUUCUCCAUAGCACCCAGCUACUCAGAGAUGUACUCACCAUCUCUAAUGACAGGAUUUCGCUUCUCUUUUUCUGAUAGGAGACAGCUGGGCUCAGGUUGCUUUCUCAUCUGCAGCCAUAACUGUUGUUAGCUCACUUCUUAAGACCUACAAAAACCAACAUUUUUGUGAAGUGUUAGUUAAUUUUAAAUGCUACAGCUACUUUUGCCACAGAGUCAACAGGCAUAGGUGAAGUGUGGCCCUAACCAAGUGGCAAAGCAGCACAGCAAACACAGAGGCCACACCGAGAGUGUCUCAGUUAUUGAACAAAAAGAAAAAAAAAAAGAAAAAAAGAGACUUGUCUUCUGGUUAUGAAAGAAGUUACCCAAAUUUAAAGACUGGAUGUGCAAAAACGUUGAUUGAAAUGCUGACCUUUCAAGUCUGUGGUAAACGAGUUACAGGUUGUUUGGUGGAAAGCUGUUAUGCUAAUGUAAGCUUGUAUGUAAUUUAACCAUAUCCUCAAUAUCAAGAGCUAAUUAAAUGGAAAAAAAAUGUUUUGGCAUCUAAAUAAAGCCUGAAAUAAACCAAAAAGUUUUGUUUUUUCACAGAUUUCAAAAUUAUUUUGUAAAAAAUGAACAUCCAAAACAUCUGCACAAUUGGGAUUGAGAAAUCAGGGACCAGGAUCCAUGAAUUUAUCACCUAUACAGGAAUAAGAUAUUUACCAAGGUUACUCUGUGUAUCAAUGCCAAACAUGAUCUAAACCAGGAAAAAGCUCAUAACUGGGAUAACCUUGUCCAUACCCAACAGUUGGACUCAGAGAAGGCUGCAAAGUCAGGAUCAUGUUACAAGAUUAAAAAGCAGGAUGAUUAGAUGUUUUCUAUAUCAGCUCUGUAGGAUAAUUGUAUAUCAGUUAUAUGUAUGUCUCAUUUGCACUGUCCCAAAGUGGCAGCACAUGUCAUACCCUAUGUUGUAUGGGUAUUCUUGUUCCUUAACACUUAAGAGUCCACACUCAAAACCGUAAUUGAUGGGAAGCUGUCAGUCCAGGUGUUGGUGCUUUUUGGUUUUCUGUUUCGUCUUUCAGCAGGUGAGGAGGGGGCUCCAAGUGGGGAGGUGAGGGGUGGAUGGAGGGUCUUAAACCUUUAUCUUGUCUUCCUCCCAGCUGUUUCCCCCCCGGGAGUGGAAUCCCUCCCCGCUUUAGCUCCGAACUGUGUCGUUAAAAACCAGAACAAGUCAUGGUAAGGGAGGCGGGAGGAAGAAUGUGUAAAGGAGGGAUGAGAGAGGAGGAGUGAAAAAGGCGGAGCGGAGAGGAAGAAAGAUACAAUUGUUCACAGUAAAUCACAAAUACAGAUGGAGUUGUUUGAGAGGGAGACAGCCAGUCAUAUACAAAAAAUAUUACCUGAACGCCUUAAUCAGCCCUUUAGUUUGACUGGCUGGAAAUAUAACCUGUUUUGAAUGUCUUCACAUGAGUACUGUCCUUCUACCUUCCAUAUGAAAGGGUACUGUGACGGGUAAUAAUUCAAUAAGUGAGCUGACAAUAACUGUCUAUACACAGAGCAGCUUUUUCUAUUUUACUUAAAUGGUUCAACCAAAAGACUAAUUCCAAUUCCUUUUUAUUAGGGCUGGGACGAUAUGCUUUUCUCCCGAUUCGAUUCUUCUUUGAUUUUUUGGAUGCCGAUUUGAUUUAAAUUGCGAUUCUAUGAUAUUGUCGAUCUUCUCAAUUUUUAGUCUGCAUUUUUAACACCAUAUUUCCCCAAAAAAUACACGACAUGGAAGGCAGUUUUUAAGAUUUAUUCUUAAAUUUGAAGCAACAAAAAGAUCUUUGAACAAAAUAAUCUAUAUAAAAAUUGUAAAACAAAAAACUGCAAUACUUAUGUGAAUCGAUUUUUUCUCCCACCCCAAAUUUUUAUCCCUUUACUUGAGAUCCAAGACAAUGACGAUACUGUAGCAAUGAACCACACAAGUACGUGUGUGGGUGAGAGCACAAAGAGGGAAGUAGAGGGUUUCAUUUGGGGGAGUUUGGACUACUUGAAUACAGUGCUGACUGUGCAUCGGCCUCAAUAGUCUCUGAUUCUUUAUUAUUUAUAUUUCCUAUUUUUAAUCUUAUGUGAAACAUUUUUGCAUCUGGUGACCUUCACAGGGAUUGACAGAAAAAUAUUAACAGUGACUGAGAGCAUCAUGAACUUUGUUAACCGAAGCAGCGCACUGAGCUGCAGGAGGCCGCUCUGAAAACUGUGUCAAAGAAGCAUCAUGUACAAACAAAAAAACACAAUUUGAAAGACAAAUAGACUUAAUGUGAAUGCUAUUUAAUGGCCUUUAUCUUGUCAAAAGGCACAAAACCUGUGGAGUCAAAACCUUGAAAACCUUGGAGUCAAAAAAGAAAUGUCCUCCUGUAGAUAUUUGCAGAGGUGAUAAGGAUUUUGGGUUGAGAACAGUGUUUUUAAAACUUAAGUCACAUGUUAAUGUCAUGAAAUUAUUAGGUCCUGAUAACAUAGUAAAGGGAAAAUUAAGUCUGCCUAAGAGUGGAGGAAAAGGAGAGGAGGGUAAUGGGUAUGAAAAACAAGAUAAGACUGUUUGGACAGACAGUAAUGAGCAGGAGUGUGGAUGGAGGAGGUGAGGAGACGGAUGUUGAGGGAGGAUGACGAGAGACGAUAGGAGAUGGAGAGGAAAACUGGUUUCAAAGAAGUAAAAAAAAAAGGGGAAAAAAGGACAUUCAAAGCAAGAAAAGGGCGUGUGUGUCCUUGGUUAGAAGGCAGUGUGUUGUCCAAACAGACUGAAAUAGAAGCAGUCAUUACUCCCUGUGCUGCUGUGACUGUUCACUGACGCUGACUUUCUGACUGUAGGAACGUGUGGUCGAUUGUCUGUCACUCUGUUGAACAAUGCAGGCAGGAUAUCACAAGUGAGGCCUUUUGGACUCCAACGUGAAGGAAACUGCAGAAGUCGUAUCUCAUGGUGUUAGCUAAUACAACUCAUUAAUCAACACAAGCUAACAACUAUCGCCACACACAGGUACAGCCGCAGAUCCUCAAGAGUCCACACAAAUGCAGCCGAAACAGAGUUUUUGAAACCUCGAUGUGAACAUGUCAAUGUUUAAACCUGACGAUUGUCCAGGUCUACCUCCGUCCUUUCAUUCAAACAUAUAAAUUGAUUCCUUUAUGCUCUUGCUCAAGUUGUCUGUGAUCCAUCUUACCAUGCGAGGACAGUGUUUGGAAGUGCAGUUUUCCCUUAUUAUGCUCCUGAUUGUAGUUCUUCCUGAGGCAAAGUGCAUUUUGUGGCUUUGUGCCAAGAACACAGUAGGCAGGACAAUGGAAAUGAAAAUAAAAAAAGUAAUAUCCUCCUUUAAAAAAUCAACUAAUGAGCACAUCUGGCACUGCAAUGCCUUCACCAGGCUUUAAUAACUACUGCUUUGAUCACUGGAAAACCAUGAUAUAAACACCAUUAACUCUGCAUGUGGCUAAAUGAGGUUUUCUUUUUAACUAGACUUCUUUGCCGUGAGGUACAUCAUGUAGAAAUAUGUAUCAGUAAAUAUCAAUUUGGGGUGAAAUUCAAGCACAUGAUCAAAUUCAAAGAUGUGGUUACUUUUGGCGGCUUAGUUUCAAAACCUCGUCUUUUUUGGGUGGUUCAAAGAUUCUACAGCAAUUUCAGUUUGACUGUUUUAGUGCAGAUUUAGGUUCUACAAAAGUCACCCCUCACUGAGUUUAACAUCAUCAAAAGAAGUCAGUGUGAUCGAUCAGAUUAAUCUCAGUUUGCAUAUGUUCUCUAUUCACGCCUGGGUUCACUAUGCAGUACUCAAGUUCUGGUACUUAAAUCACUUCUUUCAGUUUACACUGCCCACAGGUUAUAUGUCUGAUAAAGACUACACAAAUGUCCAAUUUGACACUUGCAAUGCUCAGAGUUUCUCAUCAAUAGGGCCAGAUUAAACUGAUCAGCUGAUACAGUCAGGGCCAUGGCGAUGUAAAGGCCUCUAUGACGAGAAAGUUUUGACUUCAACAAAACUGAAAAUAUUGUGUCUCUCUGGUUACCCAUGAUACCAAAGGGACACACAGAAGAGUCUGGGUUCUUUUUGACAAAGAUAAGUCCUACCUGGUUCAUGGAUUUCAUCUCACAACUGUUAAACUGUCUGACCAAAAAAAAAAAAAAAAAAUCCAAAAUCUGAGCUUGCUUUAUGCGCUUUGCAUUGAGAAAUGGAAAAUGAAAAAGGUAAUAUGACUUUUCUUUUUUCUUUUCAAUUUAUACCAGCAAGAAUGGUUGACCUGGUUUUUGGUUCAACACCAUAAAACAAAACAGAGAGGUCGUUUCAAUAUUUGUCUUAAAAUGGUAAAAGGAAAAAAGAAAAGAAAAAAAGAAGGAUGAAUGACAAAAAUAGGCUAAAAGUGCUUUAAGUUUGGUUUUUCUGGUUCUUUGUUUUCCAGAUCACAACAGUAGGGUGACCAUACGUCCUCUUUUACCCAUACAGUUCCUCUUUUGGGGGGGCUGUCCAGGUUUGUCCGGCUUUGUCAGGUUUGGGAAGUUUUUAAAGUCCUUCAAAUGUCCGCGGUUUUGUACAGAGGUUUUGAGUUUGUGUCACGUGGACUUACUGAAUUAGAAGCGCGUACAAGACACUUGAUCCAACCCGGAAAACUCUGUGACUCCGCCCUGGCGUAGUUAUGUCCUCUUUUUGGGGAGACAGAAUAUGGUCACCUCACACAAUAGAGAAAUAAAUAAUUCAAAGGUACCCUGACCUGCAGCCAUAGCUCUGGUACUUAAAGUUUUCUCAGGUAGUGACGGAAGCAGAGCUUUCCGUUUUUCAGCAACCAUGAAAAAGCUGCAUCUUCUCUACUUUCAGUUGAAUUUUCAUGUUUUUCUUUUUUUGACAAAACUUACCAGUAGAGGUGGCUCAGGCUUGGACCAGCUCAAAGUUAUGCUGCUAGAUUCUGAGGUCAAGAAAGUUUGAACAGAUAAAGAAAAGGCUUUUGAGUGCCUUAAAAUAUGAUUGUGCUGGGUCUUGGCAUCUGAAAAUGGUGAAAUUGGCAUCAUUGCAUGCUUUAAUAACGUAAAAAUAAAAUGAUGACAUACAGUUGAAUUUAAUGUAAAGACUGAAGAGAGGAGUGGCUUAUAGAUUGAGCUUUACUGUACAGUAGCAGUCCUUUGAUGUUAAUCUGCUGUCGACUUUGCACUUCCUCUGAGGCUGUAAAACCUGAACACACAGCUGUCUGUCAUCACACACAGCAAGACAGCAGUGUACAUGUUUGUGUGUGUGUGUGUGUGUGUAAAUGUGUGAGAGAGGGAGAGAGAUGGAGGGGGCGAGAGAGAGAUAGAGAGAGAGAGAGAGAGAGAGAGAGAGAGAGAGAGAGAGGAUGAAAAGGUUAGCCUACCUGCUGCUUUCUCAUUAGUGUUUUUCAGAGCCUCUACAAUAGUUAAACAUGCAUGUGUGUAUGGUUUUCUGUAGGUGUGUGUAUAUGUGUGUGUGUAAAUUGGUUCUUACUGAAUGGAUGCUACUGUGUGUUUGAAGUUUAUGCUACUGGCGAAGACAGGGGGAGUUCUGAGUUUUAUUCAGUCUGUGUGUUUGUGUGUGUGUGUGUGUGUGCGUGGCCUCCUGCUAAUAAUCAUUUACUGCAACUUUGUGUGUUCAAUGGGAGGUUUCCACCUACCAAUCAUGUGUUAAACCCCUGUGUGUGAGUGUGUGUGUCGUCUGUUCUUGACAGGAACUGACCACCUACUAAUUGGCUGUUACAGGUCCUCUGUGUCCUCAUCAUUGCUGCGAUGCAAUUAGUCCGUUCCGGGUUAAUGUUCUCACUCUGACCUGAAAAAAAUCUGAAGAGAGGGAACUUAGACAGUGGACACUAAGUACAAUACCUCUUGUUUACAUUUACAAAUGAUCACAUUGGCAACUUGUUAGGCAAUAACAUAAAGGGCAAAUGACGCUAAAAUUUGUAAAGUCUGAGACAUGCAGCAAACCACAGCAAGAAAGUGUUGGCAUUUUCUUGACCAGCCAAUCAUAAGUCAUUAAGUCAUGAAACUUUUAUCGCUAAGGGGAUUCUUGGCUUUGUUUCAUUCUUUAUUUCUGUUUCUUUAUUUCUUUCUUCAUUCUUCUUUUUUUACUUUUUUCUUUCUUUCUUUCUUUUUUAAUUUUUAUCUUUUUUCGUUCUUUUUACUUUCUUUUCUUUCUUUCUUAGUUUUUUCUUUCUUUGUUUCAUUCUUUCUUUCUUUUUCUUUUUUAUUUCUUUCUUUUUAAUCUCUCUCUUUUUUCUUUCUUUUUACUUUCUUUUCCUGUUUUUUCUUUCUUUGUUUCAUUCUUUCUUUUUCUCUCUCUCUUUCCUACUUAUUUUUUCUUUCUUUCUUUUUCCUUUCUUUGUUUCAUUCUUUCUUUUUCUUUUUUGUUUCUUUCUUUUUAAUCUCUCUCUUUUUUCUUUCUUUUUAACUUUCUUUUCCUGUUUUUUAUUUCUUUGUUUCAUUCUUUCUUUUUAUCUCUCUCUUUCCUACUUAUUUUUUCUUUCUUUCUUUUUCCUUUCUUUGUUUCAUUCUUUCUUUCUUUUUUCUUUCUAAUCUCUCUCUUUUUCUUUCUUUUUUACUUUCUUUUCCUGUUUUUUCUUUUUUCUUUCUGUUUCAUUCUUUCUUUCUUUCUUCCUUUCUUUCUUUCUUUCUUUCUUUGUUUCAUUCUUAAUUUAUUUUAUUCUUUCUUUCUUUUUUUCUUGCUUUGUUUCUUUGUUUCUUUCUUCCUUUCUUUUUCUUUCUUUCUUUCUUUCUUUCUUUCUUUCUUUCUUUCUUUCUUUCUUUCUUUCUUUCUUCCUUCCUUCAGCACGUUAUGACACCUGCCAUAGAACUCAUGAAAGGCUUAUAUAUUUAAGAAAUUACAGAAACAACAUUUAAGUCCCUCUCUCAGUCCUCUUCUGUGUUUGUCCCUGUGUUCAGACUCAGACUGCGUUUGUGUCUCGUCACGCGUUUGCCUCGGAGUAACAUUUGUCGAAUUACAGACAAGUGACAGACAUCAAAAAAUGCUUCAAAUUGCCCUUAAGGAUGUAAUAAGUUAAUUCAGUGGGUGUGGGUGUAAAGUGCAGGCCUGUGGGCUAGACUGACUACACUCCACUGCCACCUGUUAUUAAAACAACCCCUGGAAUUACAACUAAGAGAGAGAGAGAGAAAGAGCGAGUUGGAAUCAGUUUAAUUUCAAAUUAUGAAGGAAUUUCCCAAGUUGAGAGAGACAGAGCAUAAGAGAGAGAGAGAGUUAGGCAAAGUUCGUCUUGGUCCGUGGUCUCUUCCCUGCCUCUCUCUCUCACUCUUCGUCAAAAACAGAUAAUUGAAGGCCUUGCUCUGGUCUGGCAAGCAAAAAGGGGGGACGGUUGAGAACUAGACGCAGAGAUCUGGAGCAAAAAAUGAGAGAGAAAGAGAGCGAGGGAAGCCACGUCCACAUGUAUGACUCACUCUUCUUCCCUCCCCUUAGUCUGUAACUCAUCAUCUAUGUCACUCUACCAACCUUUCUCUCUCUCUCCCUUCACUGUCAAUGAGGUCAAACUGAACUCAGAGCAGCAAAAAGUCUUACAGAAAAUCCUUCGACUGGUGCUAUUUAUUCACAGUGCAGCAGUAAAAAGUGUCUGAGUGUAAGAGCCCCUGAGCAAGGCAUUGAUUUCCUAAGUAGUUACCCACACUCCCUCAAGGACAAGAAGACAAAUUGUCUGUUUUUGAUGAGCUUGCCAAGGUGAACUCAGACAGGAUCAUGGAGGUUGUCUGGCAUUUAAAUAUAUACUAUGUGUGUGUUAGGGGGUAUAUUUGUGGCAAAUGCUCCACAGCACCUCUGUAACCACAAGAAAAUGUUCAAAACUGACUGAGGACAGAAGAGGGUAACAAACAAAAACAAAAAGGAAUAAAAGAAAAAUCUAUGGACAUCGGAACAUUUAGUGAGAGGUUCAAAAUCCAAAACAGCCAUCUGCAGAGAGUGCACUGGAUUUAGAGAAAAAUAGAGGGAGAUGAAGAAAGAGAAAGAAGGAAAAAACGAUAGUACAUACAGAUGUAUGGUUGUAGUGCCAGAGAUAGUGGACCAAGCAGAUAUACUAUUUACAUGAACUGCAUGGUGAUGAUAAUGGAUAGAAAGUUAACAGAUCUCUAGUCAUAUCAUAGCAGUAGUGGCUGUUCUUCAGUGAGCUUUAGCUUUGUAACUCUGUUAAAAAUAGCAAGACUGAUCCAUAUAGUUGAAGCAGCUGUAAAGCAGGUACGUCCACAACAGUAGGACACCUGCAUCAGAGAUCCAGAGGGACCUGUGUGAUGAGGGAGCCCAGGGACUCUAAAGUUAUAGCAGCAUAACUAACUCUAACUGUGAGCUUUUAAAGAAGAGAAAUUUGAGGCCUAUUCUUGAAGGGAGAGAGGGUGUCUGCCCCCUGAACCUCGACUGGUAGAUAGUAAAAGUAUGAUGAGCAGGCUUGCAUAUGCAGACUGUUCUGACUAUGAAGAGCUUUGUUGGUCAGAAGAACUUAAAUUUUAACCCCAAAUUUAAAGGGAAGCCAGUGUAGAGACGCCAAUUUGGGGGAGCUGUGCUCUCUUCUCCUGGUUCUGGUCAGUACUAGAGUUGCAGCAUUUUGAACCAGCUUAAGAUUCUUUAAAGACUACUUAGUGCAGCCUGAUAAAAGGAAAUUACAGUUAUCCAACCUAGAGGUGACAAAUGCAUGUGCUAAUUUUUUUUUAAGUUGUCCUGAGACGGGGUGUGCCUGAUGGUUGAUAUAUUUCUCAGGUGAAAAAAGGCAGUUCUGGAGAUUUGUUGGAUAAAUCCUGGUCGAAGACAACUCACAGACUCUGAACCGUCUACUGCACUUACGUCUUUAGAAAAUGUCUCUCUAAGGUGUUUGAGGACAAGAACAAGAACUUCAGUUUUGUCAGAACUGAGUAGCAGGAAGUUUCUGGUCAUCCAGGUCUUCAUGUCUUUAGGGAAUGCUACAAGUGAAGUUAAUCUACUAGUUUCUCCUAGCUUCUGUGAUAGGUAUAAUUUAAUGUCAUCUGCAUAACAAAGAAACUUUAUGGGAUGGUCCUUGAUUAUAUUACCUUGAGGAAGCAUAUAUAAGUUAAAAAGGAUUGAUCCAAGCACUGAACCUUGUGGAACUCCAUAUCUGAUCUUGGUGUGCACAAAGACCUUUGAUUAAUAUGCGCAAACUGGGGUCAGAGGACAAAUAUGAACCAAGAUCAAACAGUUCCUGUAAUGUCAAAUAGUUGUUCAAGUCUCUGUGAUGAGGGGAUGGCCAAUUGAGGCAGCUAUAAGAUCUAACAAAAAAAAGUACUUAAAGAAGACCACUGUCCUCGGCCAUCAGUACGUCAUUAGUCACCCUCAGAAGUGUGGUUUCAGUGCUGUGGUGGACUCUGAAUCCUGACUGAAAAUCCUCAAGUGAACUGUUGCUGUUUAGCAAGUCACAGAGCUUAUGAGCUUCCACUUUCUUCAGUGUUUUUAAAAUAAAGGGAAUGUCUGAAUUUGAAUUGACAUUAAGGUAUUGUUGUAAUGUUUAAAUGUAUUAAAGAAACAUCUCUGUCACACUUUGUUCAGUGCUGUCUGCUCUGGAUUUAACUACAAAGUCAUCACCCAAAACAUCACAGUGAGAUAGCAAUUAAACAGGCUUUUGGGUGUAACCUCUUCUCAAUGUCUUUGUCACUUCAGUUUGGUUUACACUGCCUGUUGAGAGUUGGCUGCAGAAUUUAGUGCAUCUCAAACAGCCAACCACCGACACAGACAGAUACGCUCUGCUGUAUGUUAGCAGGGGGAGAGCCUUUGGUCAUACAGCAACAUACAUUUAGCAUUUUAGUGACAUCACCCCUCUGUAGUCAUUCACACAUGCGGUUAAUGUUUAGAGUGAAGUUUGGUUUAAGGAGCACAACAAUAAGGGAAACGUCCUAUCGAAAAUAUGGGGAGUGAAGGUGACAAAAGUGAAACAAAAAAAAAAAGAGAGAGAGUUAAAGAUAAAGAAUGAAAAAGGAAAGACUAGCGAAGGGAUAGGCUGGAUCAAGAAGAAGAGAGGAGGGGGUCAGCUGUGAGUGAACGAAUGGAAAAGCAGACGGAGAAGUGACUCAGUACAGCCAGAGAGAGAGAGAGAGAGAGGAAUGUUUAACACACUUAAUGUCUCUCUGUUGCACUUACUUUCCCAGUUUCCCAACAUGCAAAGAAUAUCAG